Molecule: non-coding RNA, 2428 nt
Organism: Podarcis muralis (Common wall lizard)
Lineage: Eukaryota; Metazoa; Chordata; Lepidosauria; Squamata; Lacertidae
Source: RefSeq, a predicted model, not a curated record
CCUGGCGUGGUCUGGUCCAUGGGGUCACGAAGAGUCGGACACGACUCAAUGACUAAACAACAACAACAAUGGCCGUGCUGUAUAUAGACAUUAUGUAAGCUUUAUGCAAGAAUUCCUACCCAGCACAUUGGCUGCUUAUAGAUUGAUGGGAGAAAGGUGGAAAGGCACAAAUAGCCCUGGAAAGAUUUGUGGCCACCAGGUCUCCUCCUGUGAGCAUAAAACACACAUUGCAGAAUUGUCCUAGCAAAAUAUGGAUGUUUGUUUUUUCAGUUUCCUUGCCAUAAUUAGUGCAACAGGAUAUAUGUGGAUUGGACUCCUUAUACUGACUCAGGUAUAGGUAUGGGAGAGGACCAGCCUGAUCUGAAGCAUACUGCACAUCUGGAAAGCAUGCAUUUGAAUCUGAAGUGAUGCAACAGCACUCUCAAUCUAUGAAGUCAGAGUGAUCAGAUUUACUAGCAGGGAAGCAUACAUUUACAUCAUGUUUAGAAAUGUGCACCAAAGCUGAGCUCCAUGUCGAACAGCCCUGAAGGCAAAAUCUAAAUCUAAUUCUACAGAAACUGCAACUGCAGAGAAGGAACAUUUGUGCUCAACACAGGAGACGAAAUCCACCUGUCUAUUUCUUGACUGGGUCUUGUAGGUUUAAGCUGCAAGGAGCCACAGAUGAAGUUUCAGCAUAAGUGAUGCUGUCUAUAUCAUGCUUUCUCCGCAUAAAUCAAACCCAUGCAUUCACUCCCUGACAAAUGGAAGCGGACACCGUAAGGAAGAGGGUGUGAAGCAUGUAGGUUUAGAACAGCUAGUAGAAAGACAUGAUUAUUUGUAUUAUUGCAGCACUGAGAGGCAACAAGCGAGAUCAUGGGGGCCAUUGUGUUAGACAUGGCAUAUAUUUAUAGAAAAGGACAGCUUUGGUUCCAAAGAGCUUACAACUUACACCGAAAAGAAAGAAAGGGUUGAAAAGGAAAUAGAGGCAAAGAAGAAAAGUGACUUGUUCACAAUUUCAGCUUUCCCUUCCGUCAGUGUGUGGGAGUGAUCUACAGGCUUUGAAGAACAGAAGCAAAAAAGGAGGAGGGAUGGAAUAAGAAUUCCAGUGAGCUUGCAUAUUGUAAGACUGUUUGCUACAUUAUAAUUGGUUUUGCCUAUUGAAAGUUGGCUAAAAUAUUUGCUUUCCCCCCUCCAUGCAUCACCAAGACCAAGAGUGUAUUCUAAAGCCUCAUAAAAUGAUUCUGCUGUGUUGGGAGAUUAGAGAUAUAAAAGCCUUUUUUAUUAUCUCUAUUUUGCCAUGUGCAUUUGCAAUGAACUGCAACCUCCUACCCCCUAGCGGUAUAAUUAGUUCAAUCAAGGCACAUUCAAGGUUGGGUCCGAUACUGAAGAGUACACAGACAAGCUUUGACUUGAGUAUUAUUCCUUGUUACAUGGGGGGAGAGAGAGAGAGCAGGAAGGUAAGAACGUUCCAUUCCCUGGUCAUUCCAUGGUGGGAAGAACUACGGAAGAACUGCACCAAUCCUUAAGUGCUACUCAUCCAGGCCUGAAAAGCCAUGGGCUACUUGGUGUGCAUAGGCUGUUUGGUGUCCUUCUUCUGGCCUGUCAUAUUGAGGUAGAAUAACUCAAGCUGGAAGUGUUAUUAUGCAGAGAAUAUAAUGCUACCAUGUAAAAUAACAUGAGGCAAUCACAAUAUUUUAUACAACGCUGUCAGUGUGCAUAGAGCAUAAGAGCAUAAUACGACAGGCCCCUGCCAGAAGGAGCCUUAAGGUAAAAUUCAGCACAGGAAGAACACAUAGCUAUCAACUUUUCCCUUUUUUUAAAGGAAAUUCCCUUAUUCCAAAUAGGAUUCCUCGCAAGAAAAGGGAAAAGUUGACAGCUAUGGAAGAACAGCAGAUAAGGGAGGUAAGUGGAGGUAGGGAUCAGUAGGAUGUUGUCCAUGGUCUAUUUGUGGCAAUAGUGCUAUAUAACAUUUUGUCAUUUUCUUUUUGUGUAGCAGUAAUUGCAUCAAUUGCUGGAAAGAAGGAGAUUUUCGAUGCCCAUAAAAGGCAAGAUUAAACCUAGUUAUGCACUUUAAGCCCAACUAUUUUCAGAACAUGAACCUCCUUUGCACACAGCAAAUCCUAGAGGUUCCGGAUAGCUUUGAGUAGCUCCAUAGAAAUACAUGCAUACUCUUCACAUUGAAGCAGCUGCCGCCCCACCAUGCCAUUCACCACUAAGUGGUAUGCUGUAUUUUAAUCAGUUUUACAAAAUAAGCCACCUACCCUGGGACCAUUGGUGAAUGGUGGCUUGACUGGGAAAGGUUACUCUUAACUUCAGAAGGACUGCAUGGGCUAAAUUUGUAACUAAAGCAGAUGAUAAAAUUUCAUUCAUUCAUUCAUUUAUCAUAACGUAUAUAAUACUUGAUUGUAAACAGAACCUCUAAACAAUGUACAAAAAACAAACAAACACA